AUGGUCCUCCUCGACUGUCCACCAACACCAAGCGAACACCAAGUCUGGGAAGGCCGCAAGGGGGAGCACUGGAAAGACACGCCGCCGCCGCCGCAAGGGUUAGCCUCUGCUUCCAUGUUUCAUGAGGGUGGCGCCAUUGUUUGGACUUGUGGUGCAGCUACUGCGUCCUGUUCGAGAGAGAAAAGAGAGGGUGAUGAGAGAGAGGGUAGAAGGAGAGGGAGAACCGCAGAGGAGCUGGCUCACCGGCGAGGUCCUGCUGCUGCUUCAGAUCUCCGUGCGGGGGGUCGGGUUCGAGCUCCUGCGAGCACUCUCGCCGCUCGGGCGCCUGGUAUAUGGGAGACUGUUUUGUGCAAGGGAAACUGA
This 363-nucleotide ribosomal RNA is filed under the name Triticum aestivum (bread wheat). RNAcentral describes it as "partial small subunit ribosomal RNA". The record is from RNAcentral. Lineage: Eukaryota; Viridiplantae; Streptophyta; Magnoliopsida; Poales; Poaceae.